Molecule: ribosomal RNA, 492 nt
Filed under: uncultured bacterium
Lineage: Bacteria
Description: partial 16S ribosomal RNA
Rfam family: Bacterial small subunit ribosomal RNA
Source: RNAcentral
GGGGGGGGGGGGGGGGGGGGGGGGCGGGUGCGGGGGGGGCGGGGGCGGGGGGGGGGCUUGCGCUUGAGGGGGGGGAGGGGGGGGCGGGGGCGGGGUACAUCGGCAGCUGCUUUUGCGUGGGGGAGAACGUAGGGGAACGUACGCUAAUAGCGAGUACGGCCUAAGGGGGGAAGCAGGGGGUCUUAGGCCCUUUCGCGAUGGACUGCCACGAGCUCGGAUUAGCUAGUUGGAGGUGUAAAAGCACACCAAGGCGACGAUCCGUCUCUGGUCUGAGAGGAUGAUCAGCCACAAUGGAACUGAGACAUGGUGCAGACUCCUACGGGAGGCAGCAGUGGGGAAUAUUGGACAAUGGGCGCAAGCUUGAUGCAGCAAUACCGCGUGGGUGAAGAAGGACUUCGGGUUGUAAAGCCCUUUUGUUGGGAAAGAAAAGCAGCAGGUUAAUACCCCGCUGUUUUGACGGUACCCAAAGAAUAAGAACCGGCUAACUUCGUG